UUUCAAUCAAUUGACUUCAGUUGUUACAUUUUCAGCACCCAAUAGACAAUACCUUUAAAACAGCUAGUUUCUCUAGACACCCUUGGCGAAGAUCAUUUGAAGCAAAGCUUUAGCAACAUCGACCUUACUUGUCAGAGUAUGUAGGAGAUGCAGCUGCUCCAUAUCCCUAAAAGGCCCAAGAGCCUCGACUCACUUGCUCAUUAAUCAUUGAUAGCUCAUCAAAUUUAGGGCUGUGUGGUCCAAUUAUAUGUUUUUAUCAACGAUCAGUACAUAAAAGAGAAAAGAAAAGAAAAAUCAUUCAGUCUUCAUUUUUAAAUUUCUUCAUCUCUUCCUCUCUAAUCGCUAGAUAAUGAUGAUGAUGAUGAUGAUUCAGAUUCUUCUUCUUAUUUCCCAAAUGCAUCUUGACAUAAAAAU
Molecule: unclassified non-coding RNA, 414 nt
Filed under: Hevea brasiliensis (rubber tree)
Lineage: Eukaryota; Viridiplantae; Streptophyta; Magnoliopsida; Malpighiales; Euphorbiaceae
Source: RNAcentral